AGAGUUUGAUCCUGGCUCAGGAUGAACGCUAGCUACAGGCUUAACACAUGCAAGUCGAGGGGAAACGACAUCGAAAGCUUGCUUUUGAUGGGCGUCGACCGGCGCACGGGUGAGUAACGCGUAUCCAACCUGCCCAUCACUUGGGGAUAACCUUGCGAAAGUAAGACUAAUACCCAAUGAUAUCUCUAGAAGGCAUCUGAAAGAGAUUAAAGAUUUAUCGGUGAUGGAUGGGGAUGCGUCUGAUUAGCUUGUUGGCGGGGUAACGGCCACCAAAGCAACGAUCAGUAGGGGUUCNGAGAGGAAGGUCCCCCACAUUGGACUGAGCACGGUCCAAACUCUACGGGAGCA
This 348-nucleotide ribosomal RNA is filed under the name uncultured bacterium. RNAcentral's name for it is "bacterial SSU rRNA". It matches the Rfam family "Bacterial small subunit ribosomal RNA", at positions 8 to 349 of the family's 1533-position model. The record is from RNAcentral.